GAGAACUCAGAAAAAGACGUGACUCAGUUUGUUGUAAAGGAUAUUACAGAGUACAGAUGAAAAGAUACGUAAGGAAAGACAUGGGGCAAAGGAUGUGGAGCUUCCCUCCUGGGCACACCACCCUCCAGGAACCUCCACACAUUUGGCUCUCCAGCAGUUGUCUGAACCUAGUCUUUUUUGUGUUUACAGAGGCUUCAUUACGAAAGCAUGACUGACAAAACCAUUGGCUAUUGAAUCGGGCAGCCAUUAGAACCAAAACAGUUCUGAGGAGCUCCCAGGCUGCAAUGUGGUGCGAAAUGUUUUAUGGACAGAAAAUGGAAAUGAGGUGCAGAAAUUGGAGAUGAAAUUUCAGUCUUUAUUCAAGAUCAAGUGCAACUGUCUCUUUGAGGAAAGUCCUUUGACCGCCAUUUCUCCCCUUCAGAAGGCAAACACCUGGGGGAGAAGAUCUGCUUAAGGACCUGGUAACUGACAAAGAAUGGAAUGGGAGCGAGAACCGCCUAGCCAUCCCUUCUCCUUGCACAGUCAUGAAACAAAAGUUGAAAAGGAGCCUGGUUUUACUUGACCAGUCAUAAAUUACCAUAAAAUAAAAUGAGAUAUUAGGAACCUUUGAUCUCUGAAAAAGUAAUAUGUGUUGAAAAGAAAUAUCACUGUUACAUAUAGACAAAUAAUAGAAAUAUUUGAGGCAUGCAUUUAAAAUGUAGAGGCCACUUAUAGCAGGCAUAUUAACAUGUGCAUUUGCUUUUUAAGAAGUAUACACACGUGUACCUUUAGCUUUGAAAGGGUAAGAUUCAAUGCUUGGGUGAUGGAUGCACUAAAGUCUCAGAAGCCACCACUAAAGGACUUACCCACGUAACCGAAAACAACCUGUACUCCAAAAUCAAUGAAAUAAAAUAAAAAGGUAAGAUUCAUAAAUAGCAAGUUGAGAAUGCAUGUUUAUACCAUGUAGACAAUGCAUGA
This 957-nucleotide long non-coding RNA is filed under the name Homo sapiens (human). Its description in RNAcentral is "HSALNT0135049". Lineage: Eukaryota; Metazoa; Chordata; Mammalia; Primates; Hominidae. The record is from RNAcentral.